AAAGCGUGCGCAGGCGGUUAUAUAAGACAGAUGUGAAAUCCCCGGGCUCAACCUGGGAAUGGCGAUGGUGACUGCAAGGCUAGAGUUUGGCAGAGGGGGGUAGAAUUCCACGUGUAGCAGUGAAAUGCGUAGAUAUGUGGAGGAACACCGAUGGCGAAGGCAGCCCCCUGGGUCAAAACUGACGCUCAUGCACGAAAGCGUGGGGAGCAAACAGGAUUAGAUACCCGGGU
This 230-nucleotide ribosomal RNA is filed under the name uncultured bacterium. RNAcentral describes it as "partial 16S ribosomal RNA". It matches the Rfam family "Bacterial small subunit ribosomal RNA", at positions 562 to 791 of the family's 1533-position model. The record is from RNAcentral.